Molecule: microRNA, 20 nt
Filed under: Drosophila pseudoobscura pseudoobscura
Lineage: Eukaryota; Metazoa; Arthropoda; Insecta; Diptera; Drosophilidae
Description: mir-2561-RB
Source: RNAcentral
CAGCAGACGGCAGAAACGGC